Molecule: ribosomal RNA, 508 nt
Filed under: Chloromonas nivalis subsp. tatrae
Lineage: Eukaryota; Viridiplantae; Chlorophyta; Chlorophyceae; Chlamydomonadales; Chlamydomonadaceae
Description: eukaryotic LSU rRNA
Rfam family: Eukaryotic large subunit ribosomal RNA
Source: RNAcentral
CGACCUGAGCUCAGGCAAGAUUACCCGCUGAACUUAAGCAUAUCAAUAAGCGGAGGAAAAGAAACCAACCAGGAUUUCCCUAGUAACGGCGAGCGAACCGGAAAAAGCCCAACUUGAAAAUCUCCCCUUUGGAGAAUUGUAGUCUACAGAAGUGCCCUCUGCGGUCAUGGGAGCUCAAGUCCGCUGGAAGGCGGCGUCAGAGAGGGUGAGAACCCCGUCAGCUCCCCCUUGGCUGCAUCACGAGGUGCUUUCCACGAGUCGGGUUGUUUGGGAAUGCAGCCCAAAAUUGGAGGUAAAUCCCUUCUAAGGCUAAAUAAUGGCGAGAGACCGAUAGCGAACAAGUACCGUGAGGGAAAGAUGAAAAGAACUUUGAAAAGAGAGUUAAAAAGUGCUUGAAAUUGUUGAGGGGGAAGCGGUUGGAAGUCGUGGGUGCGCCUAGGCUUAUGCGUCUCUUACGAGCCGCUGCAUGUGCUAGGUGCUGGUCAACAUGAGUUACGCCGUCGGGACA